AUUGAACGCUGGCGGCAUGCUUUACACAUGCAAGUCGAACGGUAGAGGGGGCAACCCCUUGAGAGUGGCGAACGGGUGAGUAAUGCAUCGGAACGUGCCCCGUCGUGGGGGAUAAAGCCGCGAAAGCUGUGCUAAUACCGCAUACUGUCUCUGGGUGCAAGCGGGGGACCGAAAGGCCUCGGGCGAUUGGAGCGGCCGCAGUCAGAUUAGGGAGUUGGUGGGGUAAAGGCUCACCAGGCCAACGAUCUGUAGCUGGUCUGAUAGGACGACCAGCCACACUAGGACUGAGACACGGCCCAGACUCCUACGAGAGGCAGCAGUGGGGAAUUUUGAACAAUGGGCGCAAGCCGUAUCCAGCAAUGCCGCGUGCAGGAAGAAGGCCUUCGGGUUGUAAACUGCUUUUGUACGGAACGAAAAGGUCUGGGUUAAUACCCUGGGCACAUGACGGUACCGUAAGAAUAAGCACCGGCUAACUACGUGCCAGCCGCCGCAGUAA
RNAcentral lists this ribosomal RNA (496 nucleotides) under uncultured bacterium. Its description in RNAcentral is "partial 16S ribosomal RNA". It matches the Rfam family "Bacterial small subunit ribosomal RNA", at positions 30 to 523 of the family's 1533-position model. The record is from RNAcentral.